GCUUAGAUUAAUUUAGAAUGAGAUUUUUACAUUAACAAAAACAAAACAUUGGUCGAAAGUUGUUUCGACAGAACUUGAAUGGAAUGAUAAAUCACAAGUACAGACUCAUAUUUUGUACAUUUUAGAGAAUGGAAAACCUGUGUGACAAAAGUCCUUCAAAACCACUGUAUCUAUGUAUAAACAAUGAUUCAAUGAUUAUUAUUCAUGGCUUCAUAUAGUCCAUGAUGAUAUGAUUACCACCCCAAAGUAAAUUUGUACUACAAUGGCUAGAGAUUAUCAUUGCAGUGGACAAGGACCAAGAAGCAAACGUAGACCACAUCAAAUUGGUACAGGAAGAAUUAAAAACGAUGUGUGAACGCUGGAUUAUUAGAGCCCAAAAUAUAUCUGAGAAAUACAUUGAUUUAAUAGGAAAAUACAUAUGUACCAAGGAGAAAGGAGCUGGUAUCCAUAUUAGAUGUGAACUUGUUCGAAGAAAACCAGAUCAAAGACAUGCCUCUAAGUAAAAACUACAACUGGUUGAAAACAAAAUUGCAAGAGUAAAACCUUUUUUCAUAACUUUCUUAAUAGUCUUUGCGUAUUACAGAUUGGAAAUCGUGUAUGAAGAAAAAAACAAAAACAAGCACGAGAACUGGAGGGCAUAAAAAAACUUUUGGCGAAGAAACUAGGACAAUCUUUUAGAACUCUUCCAGAAGUCAUAUCUCCGCUAUCCGAAGAGAAAGUAGAAUCCUUAGACCAAAGAGCCGUUCCUACAGAAAAUAAAUUUUAUACGAAAAUAACGGAAAUUGCAUCAUUCAAGAUUAUGGUCUGCAUUUAGAUGAAACAAACAGGGUAAAUUUCUAGAGUUGUCAGACGAAUCAAAAUGUCAAACAUUGAGUGUCAAUAGUAUAUCUUAUUAUUAUAAUUGUUUUUCUAGCAGUUCUUUCAAACCAUUAAUGCGAGAUUAAUGGUUUGAAAGACCAGCGAGAAAAAUUAUGGAACAGUCUUCAUUUCUCAGCCAGCGAAAAAAUAUCUUUCCUACAAUCAACAAAAAUACCCAAAGGCAACUCGUGCAACAUCUUUCUAAAGAAGUUGCAAGAUUAGAAACUUUCAGAGACCAUAAUUUACAUAAAUUAAUCGAAGAAAGUAAAAUAACUUUGACCAAUCUUUGGGAACAGUGUCACUAUGGCUCAAGCAUACGGAAUGGUUUUCCGGAAAUCUACACAAACGAUUACAAUCAGGCGAUGCUUGAUCAUUUUAAUGAAGAGAUGAAGAAGUGGGAGGAGUUCUAUGACCAACACUGGUAGAAUUUUAUAACCUGUUAAUUAUUUCUAUAUUAAGUCAUUUUUUCAUUUAUUUUUAAUGAAAUUAUUAUUAUUACGAUGAACACUUACAACAAAAUUCUGAGGGAGGCAAAGGAGAUGAGAAUAAACAGCCCAAGUUUAGAGUCAACCAAAGCAAACCAAAUUCAACAAAGAAGUCUUGGAAGCCCUCUGUGCUGAGUUUAAAAUCAUCCAAAUGCUCGGCUGAUGAACCAUGGACUUUCCAUUUUAGUUAUUUCGAGGCAAAUAUAGAUAUUAAGGAGGGACAAAAUAAUAAUAUGGUGUUAUUUAUGUAAAGCAUAUUUCCCUUUUCAGAAAGACAUCAAAAAUGAAAAAUAUUCCAUGGAGCUCGAGCAUUCUGAAAUGAUAUAUAACAGAUAUUAUGUUUUAUAUACUUCUUUUAAUAAAUAACUUUUAGUAA
Zophobas morio is the source of this 1719-nucleotide long non-coding RNA. RefSeq lists it as uncharacterized. NCBI's taxonomy places the organism in Eukaryota, Metazoa, Arthropoda, Insecta, Coleoptera, Tenebrionidae. The record is from RefSeq and is a predicted model, not a curated record. The transcript is spliced from 2 exons.